RNAcentral lists this ribosomal RNA (253 nucleotides) under uncultured bacterium. Its description in RNAcentral is "partial 16S ribosomal RNA". It matches the Rfam family "Bacterial small subunit ribosomal RNA", at positions 524 to 776 of the family's 1533-position model. The record is from RNAcentral.
UACGUAGGGUCCGAGCGUUGUCCGGAAUCAUUGGGCGUAAAGCGCGCGUAGGCGGCCCUGUAAGUCCGUUGUGAAAGUCAAAGGCUCAACCUUUGAAAGCCGAUGGAUACUGCAGGGCUAGAGUCCGGAAGAGGCGAGUGGAAUUCCUGGUGUAGCGGUGGAAUGCGCAGAUAUCAGGAGGAACACCAAUAGCGAAGGCAAUCCCCUGGGCCUGCACUGACGCUCAUGCACGAAAGCGUGGGGAGCAAACAGG